CCUCCAUGAAUCAAUCAAGGUGCUUUAAUCCUUAUGGCAGAAAGAAGUCCUCCCAGAGCAACCUAACUGGUACUGUAGCAAUUACUUGGUUCUUGCACAAAUGCGUCAGACAAUACAAACUGCACAAAAUUCUCUUCAAGAAUCAAGGAUAUAUCUACUAAAAAGCAAAUAAAUUAAGAUCCAAUACAAAAACUUCAAUGCUAGUACUUUACCCUGAUCAAUCCUUUCUUAUCACCAUGCUUUUUAUGCUUCCGCAGCCACAUGUAAUCUCCAUUGACAAUCAUCGCUCAUCGGCAUGAACUAGCACUUCUCUGUGCGCCAAUGCAUCCUCUGGUUGGUGCCAGCGCUCACCGGCCAACCUGCAACUGUUACCAGAUAGAUCAAUCAUAAGAACAUAAGCAUCAUAGACGAUAAUCGUCAACCCAUCUAUUUGCAAGUCCUAGCAUUUUGUACAACACCUAAAGAUAAAGGUACUAAAAUCAUUUAUUAUAUACACAAUAUUUAGAUAUAUAAACUAAAUUAUUAUAUCAGUCUCUUGAACCAAUCGAAAGGAAACAUGCAAAUUUCGGUUUACUUAAGAAGAAUGUAAAUUUUGUCAUACUAAAUGCUAAGAAAAAUGAUCCAAAUUCAGAGGUACAUCAAAUCACAAUUAUAGUAAUGAAAGAAAACACACAAAAGGCAUUUUUAUCUCUUCCCAAAAUAGGAUAAAAAAUUAAUGAACAAUUAGAAUUUUCAAUGGUUCAUAGAUGAAUACACUGUACCACAAAGAGUCUUAAAUUGUAUAUUGUGUUACCUAACUUAUUUAGAUUGGCAAAUAAUCCAAAAAAAUAACAAAAAAAUAUUAGUACAGAAAAAUGUAACAUAAAACAUGAAAUGUAAGAACCGAAUAGAGGAACAAACAUUUUGUGGCCACUGGAUUGUAAAAAGAAUGGACACUAAAGUUACUAUAAAUUUUUAACUUUUCUAUAAGGUGAGGUAGUAAUAAGCCAAAAAAAUAUGACAUCUCAUUUCUUUUGGUGCAUUCACCUCAAUUAUUUUCUUAUGCUUGUUUUUUGCAUAAAAUAUAAGGCAUGUGUGUAGUCAGAUGACUGAACUAUUGGACUCUAUGUGCAUCCUUUUUGUGAGCUUAUACGACUAAAAAUCAGGAAGAGAUUGCAAACAUGGAAAUCAUAGAAACUUACAUUUAGUUUUGUAUUUAGUUAUUAAUCGAUAUGAUUUUCCAUUUAUCCCACUACCAAGACCCGAGCUUGCAUUACUCAUUACUCAGUGCCCUGCAUAUUUUGUGAAAGGCUCUUAGUUGAGAUAUUCCAUGUCCAAAAAAUACAAUUUAUUUAAUGCGUUCAUAAUUCUGAAUCAGGUACAAAAAGAAGCAGACAAAUAUUACUUAUGUCUUAUAAGUUUGAUACAUGUAUGCCACCUAAUAAAUUUUCCCAAAAAGGAAAGCUGAGAGGUCCUAUGCAGCACCAUCAUGUGUUUCUUCUUUCUAUUUUAGAGACAACCUAAGAUUUCACUACUGAUAAGGAGAAUCUCCUUACUAAGGAAAUUACCAGGUCAUACCAUGGGCAUAAGAAUUGUUCUUCGGAAUUUCAUCACCAUAUUAAAAAAGUUUUGAAGGAGAGGUCUGUAAAAACAAUCAUCCAUUAAUGAGUGCGAGCACUACUAAGACAACUAUAGCACACAAUAACCAACAAUCUAUAUAGAAUCCGGUCACUUUGAAAAGUUAAAAUGAUUUAUAUAAUAUAUUAGAGAAUUGUGCCAGCUAGACCACUGAUCAUGAAGUAAAAUAUUUAGAGAAAUAUAUUUACAAAAGACAACUAUAAUUGGUACAAAAUUUGGAAGGGUAGUCACUGAAAAGAAAUUCCUUUCUAACUGAAUACAACACUGAUCAAAUUAUACCAUUGAUAGUAACUUGUGUAAGAUAAUAUUACGUACGACAAAAUCACUGGAUAGAGGACUCCCUCGGUAUUAAUGUAUUAAUCGUUGCUCAAGAACACAUAAUUGAAGUACUGUAACGAAUGGCCCAAAUGAAAUUUUAUAUAUGUCAGCAAAUACAAACUACAAAAGGGCAUGUUAUUUAAUACACCACAAAAUAAUUUGAGCAAAUUCGAUCGUAGCAGGUCUGAACAUGCAAGAUUAGCAUCACAAAUCAUAGCUUCUAUAACAUCAGAGUCCAUAGCAUCAGAGGCCGUACCUUUCGAAGUGUGUGAGUUUCUCAUUCCAGCACACAUACAUUGUCAUGUACCAGCUGUUUGUAGAGCUCAUCCCAAUGAGAAUUUGUAUCUUCUUUAGUUAUUAUGUCUCUUAACAGUUAGGAUAGCAUUAUAACUAAGUUGAUGAGUUGUUAGGUUUUUGGUUGGUGAUGUCUCUUGUUAGAUUUAACCUGGAAUAAAAAAAUUAUAAUCUAGAAGUUACUCAUCUGUUGGCUUUACUCAACAACUUUUUAAUUAGAAGGAGCUCCUAACAUAGAGCAUCUACAAACAUAAAUUAUAUUCCAUGGCAUAUGGAUUUGCUAUUAACGUAUUGAUUUGUAUCUAUAUGUUUACAACAAAUCAAAAUCAAAUGGAAGCAUCGUACAUCAUUAUUCCAAGGAAAUAAGCUAAGAGCAUGCAUCUUCAUUCUUCAAUAGAGUUCUGCUCGGUGUUCAGUGCAUAUAAUAAUUUAGUGCUACAAUUGGUAUUCCUCCAGAUUAUGCUUUUUCAUACAGCAAAUUGGCACCUCAUCUCCAUAGGAGCUGUGAAAUCUUUACUUUGGUCUCUCUUUCCCCUGUUUGCAAAUCAAUUUAUGUUUCACCCCAUCUUCAUAGUAGAAGUAAAGGGACACGAUUAGCUGAUGAUAUUCAAAUCCAGAUAAACUCUGUUUGCACCUACAGAUGACAACGACUACUCUGUAUGCACCUAUAGAUAACAUCGACUACUCUGUAUGCACCUGAUAUUAACUUUCCUAUAAAAUAAAUAUAUGCAUAUAACAAUACUUACAUCCUUUUAAUAUGAAAUACACAAAAAUCAAAUAUCAGACAGUUGUUGAUGUUACUAUGACAACACGACAGAAAGAAUCCACAUUAAUAUUGUUGACCUUCUCACCCCGUUGUCUAAAAUUAAAAUUUUCUAUCUUGUAUAUUCCAAGAGUUGUAAAUAUUAGGAAUCACGGUAUUUGUACUCAUUUAAUUCCUUUUGAUGUACUCGCUCAAUCUGAAUCACAGUAUCUUCAAUCUUUGAGAUCCCAUCAGUUGUCUAUUUUUCCUCAGACGGUUUGCUAACUUGCAUUAACCAGUUUAUCACGGCAUAUGAUUACACCAAUGAAUACUAAC
RNAcentral lists this long non-coding RNA (3307 nucleotides) under Triticum aestivum (bread wheat). RNAcentral describes it as "long non-coding RNA (TAES_LNC001581)". Lineage: Eukaryota; Viridiplantae; Streptophyta; Magnoliopsida; Poales; Poaceae. The record is from RNAcentral.